UGGAUUUGAAAGCCACCCCGCAAGCUGAUAAAUAAAAUAUAAGCAAAUAAAUAAAAACACCGUGGCCCCUUUAAAUGGGAAGACUGCAGAGACUGAAGGUGGGAGAAUAAAUUGGGAAAGAAAUUCCCUUUUCCACUUUGAAAGAAGAGUCUGAAACUUGUCCUUUCUACCUCUGGUGAUUUAAUCACAUAUGAUAACUGUAUAAAUCAAAUCUCCCUCAUUCCCUCUCAAGUAUGAAUUAGCUCUUAAUUAGGCCAUUGGACAAAAUUUCAAGUUAAAAUGAAAUGCAUCUUAUGAAUAGGUUGGAAUAUCAUCCUAUGUGAAGGUAAAGGUUAACUCAUCUGUCUCCUGCAAGUACAGCAGGGACCCAAUUUUAGUCUUGUUCUCAGUGGUUUGACCCCAGUAACUCCCAUUACUUUCUCCCGCUUUUCAUGAAUGCAGGUCAGCAGAGUCUUAUGCCAUCAGUGUUCCAGAUCUCAGCGAAGCAGACGAUGACACCACAUUGUCAUUUUCAUUCACAGGAGUAGAUUUUGGUCACAGAUGAUGGGGCAGAAGAAAACUUUUUACAAGCAGACUGAAAAGAGUGAAGCUGCAAGAAGAUGAGGUAGCACAUGAGGCUGAAAUCUGUUGUGUGAGGGCUCUCUCUGUUGCCGUCUGUUCACCAUCACCCAGCAGAUUAAGAGAUGAUUCCAAGUAUCCCAAAUCCAAGCCCACAAGCAUUUGGCAGAUGGUUCUGUGAUGAGUAACAAGCAUUUUGGAAAGGAAAUCCAUCUCCAUUUCUGAUCAGCAUUUUGGAGGUCAUGUCUUGUGAAGCAGAUAAUAAACUUCAUAUAAUAUGUUUUUGACA
This 847-nucleotide long non-coding RNA is filed under the name Pogona vitticeps (central bearded dragon). RNAcentral's name for it is "lncRNA (ENSPVIG00000024182.1)". Lineage: Eukaryota; Metazoa; Chordata; Lepidosauria; Squamata; Agamidae. The record is from RNAcentral.